This 192-nucleotide ribosomal RNA is filed under the name uncultured Staphylococcus sp. Its description in RNAcentral is "partial 16S ribosomal RNA". It matches the Rfam family "Bacterial small subunit ribosomal RNA", at positions 147 to 334 of the family's 1533-position model. Lineage: Bacteria; Bacillati; Bacillota; Bacilli; Caryophanales; Staphylococcaceae. The record is from RNAcentral.
CUUCGGGAAACCGGAGCUAAUACCGGAUAAUAUUUUAACCGCAUGGUUCAAAAGUGAAAGACGGUCUUGCUGUCACUUAUAGAUGGAUCCGCGCUGCAUUAGCUAGUUGGUAAGGUAACGGCUUACCAAGGCAACGAUGCAUAGCCGACCUGAGAGGGUGAUCGGCCACACUGGAACUGAGACACGGUCCAG